UACGUAGGUCCCGAGCGUUGUCCGGAUUUAUUGGGCGUAAAGCGAGCGCAGGUGGUUUAUUAAGUCUGGUGUAAAAGGCAGUGGCUCCACCAUUGUAUGCAUUGGAAACUGGUAGACUUGUGUGCAGGAGAGGAGAGUGGAAUUCCAUGUGUAGCGGUGAAAUGCGUAGAUAUAUAGAGGAACACCGGUGGCGAAAGCGGCUCUCUGGCCUGUAACUGACACUGAGGCUCGAAAGCGUGGGGAGCAAACAGG
This 252-nucleotide ribosomal RNA is filed under the name uncultured bacterium. RNAcentral describes it as "partial 16S ribosomal RNA". It matches the Rfam family "Bacterial small subunit ribosomal RNA", at positions 524 to 776 of the family's 1533-position model. The record is from RNAcentral.